Molecule: ribosomal RNA, 253 nt
Filed under: uncultured bacterium
Lineage: Bacteria
Also listed under: 1 other name
Description: partial 16S ribosomal RNA
Rfam family: Bacterial small subunit ribosomal RNA
Source: RNAcentral
UACGGAGGGAGCGAACGUUGUUCGGAUUCACUGGGCGUAAAGGGCGUGUAGGCGGCUUGGUAAGUCAGGGGUGAAAUCCCGCGGCUCAACCGCGGAGUUGCCUUUGAAACUGCCGAGCUUGAGGCCGUGAGAGGAGACUGGAAUUCCCAGUGUAGCGGUGAAAUGCAUAGAUAUUGGGAAGAACACCAGUGGCGAAGGCGAGUCUCUGGCACGGAUCUGACGCUGAGGCGCGAAAGCUAGGGGAGCAAACGGG